GUGUUGUAUGAAAGUAGAGAAGGUUAGCACUCCCCUUGACAAGGAUGGAAGAGGCUCUCGGGCCUGACAACACGCAUACGGUUAAGGCAUUGCCACCUACUUCGUGGCAUCUAACUACUGUUUUUG
Molecule: non-coding RNA, 126 nt
Filed under: Bison bison bison
Lineage: Eukaryota; Metazoa; Chordata; Mammalia; Artiodactyla; Bovidae
Source: RNAcentral